UACGUAGGGUGCAAGCGUUGUCCGGAUUUAUUGGGUUUAAAGGGUGCGCAGGCGGCCUAUUAAGUCAGUGUUGAAAUACGGAGGCUCAACCUCCGGUCCGGCACUGAUACUGAUAGGCUUGAGUUUACUGGAGGCAGGCGGAAUUUAUGGUGUAGCGGUGAAAUGCAUAGAUACCAUAAAGAACACCGAUAGCGAAGGCAGCUUGCCGUGGUAUAACUGACGCUCAGGCACGAAAGUGUGGGGAUCAAACAGG
RNAcentral lists this ribosomal RNA (253 nucleotides) under uncultured bacterium. Its description in RNAcentral is "partial 16S ribosomal RNA". It matches the Rfam family "Bacterial small subunit ribosomal RNA", at positions 524 to 776 of the family's 1533-position model. The record is from RNAcentral.